RNAcentral lists this ribosomal RNA (450 nucleotides) under uncultured Gammaproteobacteria bacterium. RNAcentral's name for it is "bacterial SSU rRNA". It matches the Rfam family "Bacterial small subunit ribosomal RNA", at positions 45 to 490 of the family's 1533-position model. The record is from RNAcentral. Lineage: Bacteria; Pseudomonadati; Pseudomonadota; Gammaproteobacteria.
GGCCUAACACAUGCAAGUCGAGCGGUAGAGAGAAGCUUGCUUCUCUUGAGAGCGGCGGACGGGUGAGUAAUGCCUAGGAAUCUGCCUGGUAGUGGGGGAUAACGUUCGGAAACGGACGCUAAUACCGCAUACGUCCUACGGGAGAAAGCAGGGGACCUUCGGGCCUUGCGCUAUCAGAUGAGCCUAGGUCGGAUUAGCUAGUUGGUGAGGUAAUGGCUCACCAAGGCGACGAUCCGUAACUGGUCUGAGAGGAUGAUCAGUCACACUGGAACUGAGACACGGUCCAGACUCCUACGGGAGGCAGCAGUGGGGAAUAUUGGACAAUGGGCGAAAGCCUGAUCCAGCCAUGCCGCGUGUGUGAAGAAGGUCUUCGGAUUGUAAAGCACUUUAAGUUGGGAGGAAGGGCAGUUACCUAAUACGUAAUUGUUUUGACGUUACCGACAGAAUAAG